Molecule: ribosomal RNA, 1813 nt
Filed under: Trichinella murrelli
Lineage: Eukaryota; Metazoa; Nematoda; Enoplea; Trichinellida; Trichinellidae
Description: SSU rRNA
Rfam family: Eukaryotic small subunit ribosomal RNA
Source: RNAcentral
CCUGGUUGAUCCUGCCAGUAGUCAUAUGCUUGUCUCAAAGAUUAAGCCAUGCAUGUGUAAGCACACACUGUUUUAAAAGUGAAGCCGCGAAUGGCUCAUUACAACAGCCACAGUUUAUUAGAACUUACAAUCAUGGAUAACUGUGGUAAUUCUAGAGCUAAUACACGCACAAAAACUUCAACUGAAUUGGUUGAAGUGCUUUUAUUAGAACAAAAACCGAACGGCGUUUGGCGAAUGUUGAACGUCGAAACUGUUUGGUGAAUCUGAAUAACUAUUUCUGAUCGCAUGGUCUAGCACCGGCGACAUCACUUUCAAGUGUCUGCCUUAUCAACCUUCGAUGGUAGUCUAUGCGACUACCAUGGUGAUAACGGGUAACGGAGAAUCAGGGUUCGACUCCGGAGAGGGAGCCUGAGAAACGGCUACCACAUCCAAGGAAGGCAGCAGGCGCGCAAAUUACCCACUCCCAGCUUGGGGAGGUAGUGACGAAAAAUAACGAGACGAUUCUCGUUUGAGAAACGUUAUCGAAAUGAGUACGCUUUACACACGCUAACGAGUAGCAAUUGGAGGGCAAGUCUGGUGCCAGCAGCCGCGGUAAUUCCAGCUCCAAUAGCGUAUAUUAAAGUUGCUGCGGUUAAAACGCUCGUAGUUGAAUUGUGGUCUUAGACAACAGUCCCCCUACAUAGGUGUGGCACGGUUGCUCGAGAUCUUCAUUCGUGGUUGCUGUUGUUGCUCUUCAUUGAGUGUCAAUGGUGCCUCGAGAUUUUACUUUGAAAAAAUUAGAGUGCUCAAAGCAGGUUGUGAUGCCUGAAUAAUGGUGCAUGGAAUAAUAGAAUACGAUCUCGGUUCUAUUUUGUUGGUUUUCGAACCGGAGAUAAUGAUUGAAAGGAACAGACGGGGGCAUUCGUAUUGCUGCGUUAGAGGUGAAAUUCUUGGAUCGCAGCAAGAUGAACAAUUGCGAAAGCAUUUGCCAAGAAUGUUUUCAUUAAUCAAGAACGAAAGUUAGAGGUUCGAAGGCGAUCAGAUACCGCCCUAGUUCUAACGGUAAACUAUGCCAACCAGCGAUUCGCCGAAGUUCAUUUAAGACUCGGCGAGCAGCUUCCGGGAAACCAAAGUGUUUCGGUUCCGGGGGAAGUAUGGUUGCAAAGCUGAAACUUAAAGGAAUUGACGGAAGGGCACCACCAGGAGUGGAGCCUGCGGCUUAAUUUGACUCAACACGGGAAAACUCACCCGGCCCGGACACUGGAAGGAUUGACAGAUUGACAGCUCUUUCUUGAUUCAGUGGGUAGUGGUGCAUGGCCGUUCUUAGUUGGUGGAGCGAUUUGUCUGGUUAAUUCCGAUAACGAACGAGACUCUACCCUAUUAAAUAGUGACAGUAUUGUAUUUUUUGUGCUGAUCACUUCUUAGAGGGACUGGCAAAUUGAAAGCUGCACGAAAAGAGCAAUAACAGGUCUGUGAUGCCCUUCGAUGUCCGGGGCUGCACGCGCGCUACAAUGAAAGCGUCAACGUGAGUUACGUCCUUACCUGAAAAGGUUUGGCAAUCGAAUGAAACGUUUUCUUGAAUGGAAUAGGGAAUUGCAAUUGUUUCCCUUGAACGAGGAAUUCCCAGUAAGCGUGAGUCAUUAGCUCGCGUUGAUUACGUCCCUGCCCUUUGUACACACCGCCCGUCGCUACUACCGAUUGGAUGAUUUAGUGAGGUGUUUGACUGGCGCCAGUAGUCGGAUGUAUUCGGCUUCGCGCCGGGAAAUUUCCCAAACCAAAUCAUCUAGAGGAAGUAAAAGUCGUAACAAGGUUUCCGUAGGUGAACCUGCGGAAG